UACGAAGGGUGCAAGCGUUACUCGGAAUUACUGGGCGUAAAGAGUGUGUAGGCGGUGUUCUAAGUUUGUCGUGAAAUCUCCCGGCUUAACUGGGAGGGUGCGGCGAAAACUGGAAUGCUAGAGGAUGGGAGAGGUAAGCGGAAUUCCUGGUGUAGCGGUGAAAUGCGUAGAUAUCAGGAGGAACACCUGUGGUGUAGACAGCUUACUGGACCAUUUCUGACGCUGAGACACGAAAGCGUGGGUAGCAAACAGG
RNAcentral lists this ribosomal RNA (253 nucleotides) under uncultured bacterium. RNAcentral's name for it is "partial 16S ribosomal RNA". It matches the Rfam family "Bacterial small subunit ribosomal RNA", at positions 524 to 776 of the family's 1533-position model. The record is from RNAcentral.